AGGCAGCAGUUGGGAAUCUUCCGCAAUGGACGAAAGUCUGACGGAGCAACGCCGCGUGAGCGAAGAAGGCCUUCGGGUCGUAAAGCUCUGUUGUUAGGGAAGAACAAGUAACGCAGUAACUGGCGUUACCUUGACGGUACCUAACGAGAAAGCCACGGCUAACUACGUGCCAGCAGCCGCGGUAAUACGUAGGUGGCAAGCGUUGUCCGGAAUCAUUGGGCGUAAAGCGCGCGCAGGCGGUUCCUUAAGUCUGAUGUGAGAGCCCACGGCUCAACCGUGGAGGGUCAUUGGAAACUGGGGGACUUGAGUGCAGAAGAGGAGAGCGGAAUUCCAUGUGUAGCGGUGAAACGCGUAGAUAUAUGGAAGAACACCGGUGGCGAAGGCGGCUCUCUGGUCUGUUACUGACGCUGAGGCUCGAACGCAUGGGUAGCGAACAGGAUUAGAUACCCCAGUAGUCC
RNAcentral lists this ribosomal RNA (458 nucleotides) under uncultured bacterium. RNAcentral describes it as "bacterial SSU rRNA". It matches the Rfam family "Bacterial small subunit ribosomal RNA", at positions 346 to 796 of the family's 1533-position model. The record is from RNAcentral.